AUUGAACGCUGGCGGCAUGCUUUACACAUGCAAGUCGAACGGGCAGCGCGGGGCAACCUGGCGGCGAGUGGCGAACGGGUGAGUAAUAUAUCGGAACGUACCCAAGAGUGGGGGGAUAACGUAGCGAAAGUUACGCUAAUACCGCAUACGAUCUAAGGAUGAAAGUGGGGGAUCGCAAGACCUCAUGCUCCUGGAGCGGCCGAUAUCUGAUUAGCUAGUUGGUGAGGUAAAGGCUCACCAAGGCCACGAUCAGUAGCUGGUCUGAGAGGACGACCAGCCACACUGGAACUGAGACACGGUCCAGACUCCUAC
Molecule: ribosomal RNA, 312 nt
Filed under: uncultured bacterium
Lineage: Bacteria
Description: bacterial SSU rRNA
Rfam family: Bacterial small subunit ribosomal RNA
Source: RNAcentral